This 483-nucleotide ribosomal RNA is filed under the name uncultured bacterium. RNAcentral's name for it is "partial 16S ribosomal RNA". It matches the Rfam family "Bacterial small subunit ribosomal RNA", at positions 30 to 506 of the family's 1533-position model. The record is from RNAcentral.
AUUGAACGCUGGCGGCAGGCCUAACACAUGCAAGUCGAGCGGAUGAAGGGAGCUUGCUCCUGGAUUCCGCGUCGGACGGGUGAGUAAUGCCUAUGAAUCUGCCUGGUAGUGGGGGAUAACGUCCUGAGACGGGCGCUAAUACCGCAUACUUCCUGCUCGAGAAGGUGGGGGAUCUUCGGACCUCACGCUCUCAGAUGAGCCUAGGUCGGAUUAGCUAGUUGGUGGGGUAAAGGCCUACCAAGGCGACGAUCCGUAACUGGUCUGAGAGGAUGAUCAGUCACACGGGAACUGAGACACGGUCCAGAAGCCUACGGGAGGCAGCAGUGGGGAAUAUUGGACAAUGGGCGAAAGCCUGAUCCAGCCAUGCCGCGUGUGUGAAGAAGGGCUUCGGAUGGUAAAGAACUUUAAGGGGGGAGGAAGGGCAGUAAGUUAAUACCUUGCUGUUUUGACGUUACCAACAGAAUAAGCACCGGCUAACUUCGU